RNAcentral lists this ribosomal RNA (1409 nucleotides) under Escherichia coli. Its description in RNAcentral is "partial 23S ribosomal RNA". It matches the Rfam family "Bacterial large subunit ribosomal RNA", at positions 819 to 2209 of the family's 2925-position model. Lineage: Bacteria; Pseudomonadati; Pseudomonadota; Gammaproteobacteria; Enterobacterales; Enterobacteriaceae. The record is from RNAcentral.
GGGUGAAAGGCCAAUCAAACCGGGAGAUAGCUGGUUCUCCCCGAAAGCUAUUUAGGUAGCGCCUCGUGAAUUCAUCUCCGGGGGUAGAGCACUGUUUCGGCAAGGGGGUCAUCCCGACUUACCAACCCGAUGCAAACUGCGAAUACCGGAGAAUGUUAUUACGGGAGACACACGGCGGGUGCUAACGUCCGUCGUGAAGAGGGAAACAACCCAGACCGCCAGCUAAGGUCCCAAAGUCAUGGUUAAGUGGGAAACGAUGUGGGAAGGCCCAGACAGCCAGGAUGUUGGCUUAGAAGCAGCCAUCAUUUAAAGAAAGCGUAAUAGCUCACUGGUCGAGUCGGCCUGCGCGGAAGAUGUAACGGGGCUAAACCAUGCACCGAAGCUGCGGCAGCGACACUAUGUGUUGUUGGGUAGGGGAGCGUUCUGUAAGCCUGUGAAGGUGUGCUGUGAGGCAUGCUGGAGGUAUCAGAAGUGCGAAUGCUGACAUAAGUAACGAUAAAGCGGGUGAAAAGCCCGCUCGCCGGAAGACCAAGGGUUCCUGUCCAACGUUAAUCGGGGCAGGGUGAGUCGACCCCUAAGGCGAGGCCGAAAGGCGUAGUCGAUGGGAAACAGGUUAAUAUUCCUGUACUUGGUGUUACUGCGAAGGGGGGACGGAGAAGGCUAUGUUGGCCGGGCGACGGUUGUCCCGGUUUAAGCGUGUAGGCUGAUUUUCCAGGCAAAUCCGGAAAAUCAAGGCUGAGGCGUGAUGACGAGGCACUACGGUGCUGAAGCAACAAAUGCCCUGCUUCCAGGAAAAGCCUCUAAGCAUCAGGUAACAUCAAAUCGUACCCCAAACCGACACAGGUGGUCAGGUAGAGAAUACCAAGGCGCUUGAGAGAACUCGGGUGAAGGAACUAGGCAAAAUGGUGCCGUAACUUCGGGAGAAGGCACGCUGAUAUGUAGGUGAAGCGACUUGCUCGUGGAGCUGAAAUCAGUCGAAGAUACCAGCUGGCUGCAACUGUUUAUUAAAAACACAGCACUGUGCAAACACGAAAGUGGACGUAUACGGUGUGACGCCUGCCCGGUGCCGGAAGGUUAAUUGAUGGGGUUAGCGGUAACGCGAAGCUCUUGAUCGAAGCCCCGGUAAACGGCGGCCGUAACUAUAACGGUCCUAAGGUAGCGAAAUUCCUUGUCGGGUAAGUUCCGACCUGCACGAAUGGCGUAAUGAUGGCCAGGCUGUCUCCACCCGAGACUCAGUGAAAUUGAACUCGCUGUGAAGAUGCAGUGUACCCGCGGCAAGACGGAAAGACCCCGUGAACCUUUACUAUAGCUUGACACUGAACAUUGAGCCUUGAUGUGUAGGAUAGGUGGGAGGCUUUGAAGUGUGGACGCCAGUCUGCAUGGAGCCGACCUUGAAAUACCACCCUUUA